Molecule: ribosomal RNA, 431 nt
Filed under: uncultured bacterium
Lineage: Bacteria
Description: partial 16S ribosomal RNA
Rfam family: Bacterial small subunit ribosomal RNA
Source: RNAcentral
CCUACGGGAGGCAGCAGCAAGGAAUUUUCGUCAAUGGGCGCAAGCCUGAACGAGCAACGCCGCGUGGAGGAUGACGGCCUUCGGGUUGUAAACUCCUUUUGGGGACGAUACGGUACCCCGGGAAUAAGGCUCGGCUAACUCUGUGCCAGCAGCCGCGGUAAUACAGAGGAGCCAAGCGUUGUCCGGAUUGACUGGGCGUAAAGCGCACGCAGGCGGUCGCGCGCGUGGGGUGUGAAAUCUGGCCGCUUAACGGCCAGGCGCCAUCCCAUACGGCGUGACUGGAGUGAUGCAGAGGUCGGUGGAAUUGCCGGUGUAGUGGUGAAAUGCGUAGAGAUCGGCAGGAACACCCAGGGGGAAACCAGCCGACUGGGCUCACUGACGCUGAGGUGCGAGAGCGUGGGGAGCGAACCGGAUUAGAUACCCUUGUAGUC